AGGGGCGUAGCUCAGUUGGUAGAGCAGCGGUCUCCAAAACCGCAGGUCGCGCGUUCGAAUCGUGCCGCCCCUG
This 73-nucleotide transfer RNA is filed under the name Candidatus Dormiibacterota bacterium. RNAcentral describes it as "tRNA-Trp". It matches the Rfam family "tRNA". From Rfam's summary of the family: Transfer RNA (tRNA) molecules are approximately 80 nucleotides in length. Their secondary structure includes four short double-helical elements and three loops (D, anti-codon, and T loops). Further hydrogen bonds mediate the characteristic L-shaped molecular structure. tRNAs have two regions of fundamental functional importance: the anti-codon, which is responsible for specific mRNA codon recognition, and the 3' end, to which the tRNAs corresponding amino acid is attached (by aminoacyl-tRNA synthetases). tRNAs cope with the degeneracy of the genetic code in two manners: having more than one tRNA (with a specific anti-codon) for a particular amino acid; and 'wobble' base-pairing, i.e. permitting non-standard base-pairing at the 3rd anti-codon position. RNAcentral also lists the same sequence under 1 other name. Lineage: Bacteria; Bacillati; Candidatus Dormiibacterota. The record is from RNAcentral.